Molecule: unclassified non-coding RNA, 195 nt
Filed under: Glomus sp.
Lineage: Eukaryota; Fungi; Glomeromycota; Glomeromycetes; Glomerales; Glomeraceae
Description: partial contains 5.8S ribosomal RNA and internal transcribed spacer 2
Rfam family: 5.8S ribosomal RNA (bases 1-65)
Source: RNAcentral
GUGAAUCAUCGAAUUUUUGAACGCAAAUUGCACUCUCCUCGGAGAGUAUGCCUGUUUGAGGGUCAGCCUAAAAAAAAUCUACAUCGUUGCUAUUCCGCGGUGACGUUCGUCGGAAAUUGGGGUAUCUUAAACCUUUUGGUUUAAGCGACUUAAAUUGUUCCUUUUUAUUCCAUGAAUGUUUCUAUGAUCUAUUUU